This 426-nucleotide ribosomal RNA is filed under the name uncultured bacterium. Its description in RNAcentral is "partial 16S ribosomal RNA". It matches the Rfam family "Bacterial small subunit ribosomal RNA", at positions 354 to 796 of the family's 1533-position model. The record is from RNAcentral.
GUCGAGAAUCUUGGGCAAUGCGCGAAAGCGUGACCCAGCAAUGCCGCGUGUAUGAUGAAGGCCCUCGGGUCGUAAAGUACUGUCUCCCGUGACGAAAUUUGACGGUAGCGGGGAAGGAAGCCACGGCUAACUACGUGCCAGCAGCCGCGGUAAUACGUAGGUGGCGAGCGUUGUUCGGAUUUAUUGGGCGUAAAGGGUCUGUAGGAGGUUUGUUAAAUACGGGGUGAAAUCCCGAAGCUCAACUUCGGAAUUGCCUUGUAGACUGACGAACUGGAGUACCGGAGAGGUAAGCGGAAUACCAGGUGUAGCGGUGGAAUGCGUAGAUAUCUGGUAGAACACCAAAAGCGAAGGCAGCUUGCUGGACGGAAACUGACUCUGAAAGACGAAAGCAUGGGGAGCAAACAGGAUUAGAAACCCGUGUAGUCC